CUCUGUGCUGAGUCAUGAAAGUUGCCGGAGCAGGUGCAGUUACACAACCUCCAGGUAUGAUCCUGUUUAAGGACUGGAUUUAGGAUAACUACUUAGAGGUUAAAAGUCACAAGGGUGUAUGGAUGAGGCUGGAGUGAUCUGGGACCAAAGACAUCUAGGCUUGCUGUCAAGGCUUCUGAUCAACAUGAGAUGACCGCCGUGUGGUAAACUGAUGAACCCCGACCCUGAUCAACGUGAGAUGACCGCCGUGUGGUAAACUGAUGAACCCCGACCCUGAUGAACAUGAGAUGACCGCCGUGUGGUAAACUGAUGAACCCCGACCCUGAUCAACAUGAGAUGACCGCCGUGUGGUAAACUGAUGAACCCCGACCCUGAUCAACAUGAGAUGACCGCCGUGUGGUAAACUGAUGAACCCCGCCCAUUAGGCUUUGGCUACAGAAUGUGGAAAUAAGUUGUGUUACUACAUGUGUGUAAUCCUAGGGUUCAGGACACAGGCUGGGAGGUUCCAUAGAGUGAUGGGUUGUGCAGGUAACUCAUCCUCUAGUCCUCUGUAAGCUCCUAGAAGGAAGAAAUUAUGUCCUUUAGACUAAUAAAAUUCCUCCAAACCAAAUACAGCACCUACUGUGAAGACACAAAGAUACUUUUAGAAUAGUAAAAACUUUAUCCAUUGAGAAAUUCCUUAAUGAAACAGUAUCCAAGAAGUCAUUUGCCAGCAGAUUUCUUAGAGGUGCGAUAAAGAAGAGGACAUUGCCAGUCGUCACAGCAGCUGCAAUAGCUCCUCUCUAUUGUUAAACAGUGGGAUAUCUUG
RNAcentral lists this long non-coding RNA (808 nucleotides) under Homo sapiens (human). Lineage: Eukaryota; Metazoa; Chordata; Mammalia; Primates; Hominidae. The record is from RNAcentral.